This 345-nucleotide ribosomal RNA is filed under the name uncultured compost bacterium. RNAcentral's name for it is "bacterial SSU rRNA". It matches the Rfam family "Bacterial small subunit ribosomal RNA", at positions 540 to 884 of the family's 1533-position model. The record is from RNAcentral.
GUUAAUCGGAAUUACUGGGCGUAAAGCGCACGCAGGCGGUUUGUUAAGUCAGAUGUGAAAUCCCCGGGCUCAACCUGGGAACUGCAUCUGAUACUGGCAAGCUUGAGUCUCGUAGAGGGGGGUAGAAUUCCAGGUGUAGCGGUGAAAUGCGUAGAGAUCUGGAGGAAUACCGGUGGCGAAGGCGGCCCCCUGGACGAAGACUGACGCUCAGGUGCGAAAGCGUGGGGAGCAAACAGGAUUAGAUACCCUGGUAGUCCACGCCGUAAACGAUGUCGACUUGGAGGUUGUGCCCUUGAGGCGUGGCUUCCGGAGCUAACGCGUUAAGUCGACCGCCUGGGGAGUACG